UACAGAGGGGGCAAGCGUUGUUCGGAAUUACUGGGCGUAAAGGGCGCGUAGGCGGCCUUCUAAGUCAGACGUGAAAUCCCCCGGCUUAACCUGGGAACUGCGUCUGAUACUGGGAGGCUUGAGUAUGGGAGAGGGAUGUAGAAUUCCAGGUGUAGCGGUGAAAUGCGUAGAUAUCUGGAGGAAUACCGGUGGCGAAGGCGGCAUCCUGGACCAUUACUGACGCUGAGGCGCGAAAGCUAGGGGAGCAAACGGG
RNAcentral lists this ribosomal RNA (253 nucleotides) under uncultured bacterium. RNAcentral describes it as "partial 16S ribosomal RNA". It matches the Rfam family "Bacterial small subunit ribosomal RNA", at positions 524 to 776 of the family's 1533-position model. The record is from RNAcentral.